UACGUAGGGUGCGAGCGUUGUCCGGAAUUAUUGGGCGUAAAGAGCUCGUAGGCGGUUUGUCGCGUCUAUCGUGAAAACUGGAGGCUUAACUUUCAGCGUGCGGUGGAUACGGGCAGACUUGAGUUCGGUAGGGGAGACUGGAAUUCCUGGUGUAGCGGUGAAAUGCGCAGAUAUCAGGAGGAACACCGGUGGCGAAGGCGGGUCUCUAGUACGGUACUGACGCUGAGACGCGAAGGCGUGGGGAGCGAACAGG
RNAcentral lists this ribosomal RNA (253 nucleotides) under uncultured bacterium. RNAcentral's name for it is "partial 16S ribosomal RNA". It matches the Rfam family "Bacterial small subunit ribosomal RNA", at positions 524 to 776 of the family's 1533-position model. The record is from RNAcentral.